GUUGGAAACAUGAUCCGACCGAACAAUUAUUGUUAAUCUGUUAGGGUUGCGUUAGCAAACUACAGUGAAAACUUUAUUGGAGUAUUUAUUAUGCACUCGUAAAGUUGUGUACUAUAAAUUAAUUAACUCCCUGGCACGUGGCCAGACUAUCGACAUUUUUGGGUAAAAGUAAGAUAUCCUGGGAUAAAUGAACCCUAGGGACUAAAAUUAUCAUCAUUAACUUGAUUUUAAUCAUUGCUAUUAUUAUUAUUAUGAAUGAACAUGAUGAUAAUUUUCUUUUGCUCCUUUUUUAUGGGUUGUCAGCAAACGAG
Molecule: unclassified non-coding RNA, 311 nt
Filed under: Hevea brasiliensis (rubber tree)
Lineage: Eukaryota; Viridiplantae; Streptophyta; Magnoliopsida; Malpighiales; Euphorbiaceae
Source: RNAcentral